RNAcentral lists this ribosomal RNA (406 nucleotides) under uncultured bacterium. Its description in RNAcentral is "partial 16S ribosomal RNA". It matches the Rfam family "Bacterial small subunit ribosomal RNA", at positions 30 to 526 of the family's 1533-position model. The record is from RNAcentral.
AUUGAACGCUGGCGGCAGGCCUAACACAUGCAAGUCGAACGAGUGGCGGACGGGUGAGUAAUGUCUGGGAAACUGCCAGAUGGAGGGGGAUAACUACUGGAAACAGUAGCUAAUACCGCAUACCAUCGGAUGUGCCCAGAUGGGAUUAGAUAGUAGGUGGUGUAAUGGAGCACCUAGGCGACGAUCCCUAGCUGGUCUGAGAGGAUGACCAGCAACAGUGGAACUGAGACACGGUCCAGACUCCUACGGGAGGCAGCAGUGUGGAAUAGUGCACAAUGGGCGCAAGCCUGAUGCAGCAAGGCGGGGGGUAUGAAGAAGGCCUUCGGGGUGUAAAGUACUUUCAUCGAAGAGGCGUUACUCGCAGAAGAAGAACCGGCUAACUCCGUGCCAGACGCCGCGGUAAUUC